ACGUAGGGUGCAGGCGUUAAUCGGAAUUACUGGGCGUAAAGCGUGCGCAGGCGGUUUGUUAAGACAGGUGUGAAAUCCCCGGGCUUAACCUGGGAAUUGCGCUUGUAACUGGCAGGCUAGAGUGUGGCAGAGGGGGGUGGAAUUCCACGUGUAGCAGUGAAAUGCGUAGAUAUGUGGAGGAACACCGAUGGCGAAGGCAGCCCCCUGGGUUAACACUGACGCUCAUGCACGAAAGCGUGGGGAGCAAACAGGAUUAGAUACCCUGGUAGUCCACGCCCUAAACGAUGUCAACUAGUUGUCGGGGAAGCAAUUCCUUGGUAACGAAGCUAACGCGUGAAGUUGACCGCCUGGGGAGUACGGCCGCAAGGUUA
Molecule: ribosomal RNA, 371 nt
Filed under: uncultured bacterium
Lineage: Bacteria
Description: bacterial SSU rRNA
Rfam family: Bacterial small subunit ribosomal RNA
Source: RNAcentral